CUAACCCACUCUCCCACUCUUCCUCCCUCUCGCUCCUGGCUCCCUCCUCCCUACGACGGCACGGUGCACACUCGGCACCUCCUCCCUCCUCCUAUGUUCUUAAGGGGCUCAGUGAGCGGCGGGUGCAACGGAUGCAGGAGCGCGUGGUGAAGAUGAUCCCGCGGCUGGUGUACGCGUCAUCGUCCGAUGGGUUCGGCGACGGCAUGGAGGACACCCUCGAUGUGGUGCUGCGCGGCGUGCUGGAGCGGUUCCGACGGCGCCGGGCGAGCACCGCGCCUGUAGGCAAAGAGUUGAUCUUUUGGAGAUGGACAAGGACAUAACAGUAACAGAAGAAGAGGUUUGGGCAACAAUAAAAGAAUUGCCUGCUGAUAGGGUGUCGGGUCCAGAUGAAUUCAUCGGGCGUUUCUACAAGCCGUGUUAGCCAACAAUUAAAUCGGACUUCAUGGCAGCCAUCAUCGUGUUACAGACAUCAUCACCCGGUUUCUCAAAAUAUCUUUUUAGGGUUUGUUUCUUGCACUGGUAGACUCCUCAUUGUAGCUUUUUGUAAAUUCUAAUAUACACAUUGUUAGUAAAUGUAUACUCAACUGAAAGCUCCUUAAUUUAUCAAUCAGUUAUUUCCUUGUGAACUUC
Zea mays is the source of this 630-nucleotide RNA transcript. RefSeq lists it as uncharacterized. The transcript is spliced from 2 exons. The record is from RefSeq and is marked validated. Lineage: Eukaryota; Viridiplantae; Streptophyta; Magnoliopsida; Poales; Poaceae.